This 523-nucleotide ribosomal RNA is filed under the name uncultured bacterium. RNAcentral describes it as "partial 16S ribosomal RNA". It matches the Rfam family "Bacterial small subunit ribosomal RNA", at positions 28 to 523 of the family's 1533-position model. The record is from RNAcentral.
GACGAACGCUGGCGGCGUGCCUAAUACAUGCAAGUCGAACGCUUUUUCUUUCACCGGAGCUUGCUCCAUCGAAAGAAAAAGAGUGGCGAACGGGUGAGUAACACGUGGGUAACCUGCCCAUCAGAAGGGGAUAACACUUGGAAACAGGUGCUAAUGCCGUAUAACACUAUUUUCCGCAUGGAAGAAAGUUGAAAGGCGCUUUUGCGUCACUGAUGGAUGGACCCGCGGUGCAUUAGCUAGUUGGUGAGGUAACGGCUCACCAAGGCAACGAUGCAUAGCCGGCCUGAGAGGGUGAUCGGCCACACUGGGACUGAGACACGGCCCAGACUCCUACGGGAGGCAGCAGUAGGGAAUCUUCGGCAAUGGACGAAAGUCUGACCGAGCAACGCCGCGUGAGUGAAGAAGGUUUUCGGAUCGUAAAACUCUGUUGUUAGAGAAGAACAAGGAUGAGAGUAGAACGUUCAUCCCUUGACGGUAUCUAACCAGAAAGCCACGGCUAACUACGUGCCAGCCGCCGCCGUAA